This 72-nucleotide transfer RNA is filed under the name Saccoglossus kowalevskii. Its description in RNAcentral is "tRNA-Cys". It matches the Rfam family "tRNA". From Rfam's summary of the family: Transfer RNA (tRNA) molecules are approximately 80 nucleotides in length. Their secondary structure includes four short double-helical elements and three loops (D, anti-codon, and T loops). Lineage: Eukaryota; Metazoa; Hemichordata; Enteropneusta; Harrimaniidae. The record is from RNAcentral.
GGGGAUAUAGCUCAGUGGUAGAGCAUUCGACUGCAGAUCUGGAGGUCCCUGGUUCGAACCCGGGUGUCCCCU